This 506-nucleotide ribosomal RNA is filed under the name uncultured bacterium. Its description in RNAcentral is "partial 16S ribosomal RNA". It matches the Rfam family "Bacterial small subunit ribosomal RNA", at positions 28 to 523 of the family's 1533-position model. The record is from RNAcentral.
GAUGAACGCUAGCGAUAGGCUUAACACAUGCAAGUCGAGGGGCAGCAUGGUCUUAGCUUGCUAAGACUGAUGGCGACCGGCGCACGGGUGCGUAACGCGUAUGCAACUUGCCUCACAGAGGGGGAUAACCCGUCGAAAGACGGACUAAUACCGCGUACACUUGGAGGGAGGCAUCUCCCAUCAUGGAAAAGAAAUUCGCUGUGAGAUAGGCAUGCGUCCCAUUAGCUAGUUGGUGAGGUAACGGCUCACCAAGGCAACGACGGGUAGGGGAACUGAGAGGUUGAACCCCCACACUGGUACUGAGACACGGACCAGACUCCUACUGGAGGCAGCAGUGAGGAAUAUUGGUCAAUGGGCGAGAGCCUGAACCAGCCAAGUCGCGUGAAGGAUGACUGUCUUAUGGAUUGUAAACUUCUUUUGUAGGGGAAUAAAGAACGGUACGUGUACCGUAGUGAAUGUACCCUACGAAUAAGCAUCGGCUAACUCCGUGCCAGCAGCCGCGGUAA